AGUAGGGCGGGACACGUGGUAUCCUGUCUGAAUAUGGGGGGACCAUCCUCCAAGGCUAAAUACUCCUGACUGACCGAUAGUGAACCAGUACCGUGAGGGAAAGGCGAAAAGAACCCCGGCGAGGGGAGUGAAAAAGAACCUGAAACCGUGUACGUACAAGCAGUGGGAGCCUCUUUAUGGGGUGACUGCGUACCUUUUGUAUAAUGGGUCAGCGACUUAU
Molecule: ribosomal RNA, 220 nt
Filed under: Citrobacter rodentium
Lineage: Bacteria; Pseudomonadati; Pseudomonadota; Gammaproteobacteria; Enterobacterales; Enterobacteriaceae
Description: partial 23S ribosomal RNA
Rfam family: Bacterial large subunit ribosomal RNA
Source: RNAcentral